RNAcentral lists this ribosomal RNA (496 nucleotides) under uncultured bacterium. Its description in RNAcentral is "partial 16S ribosomal RNA". It matches the Rfam family "Bacterial small subunit ribosomal RNA", at positions 28 to 506 of the family's 1533-position model. The record is from RNAcentral.
GAUGAACGCUGGCGGCGUGCCUAAUACAUGCAAGUCGAGCGAACAGACGAGGAGCUUGCUCCUCUGACGUUAGCGGCGGACGGGUGAGUAACACGUGGAUAACCUACCUAUAAGACUGGGAUAACUUCGGGAAACCGGAGCUAAUACCGGAUAAUAUAUUGAACCGCAUGGUUCAAUAGUGAAAGACGGUUUUGCUGUCACUUAUAGAUGGAUCCGCGCCGCAUUAGCUAGUUGGUAAGGUAACGGCUUACCAAGUCGACGAUGCGUAGCCGACCUGAGAGGGGGAUCGGCAACACUGGAACUGAGAAACGGUCCAAACUCCUACGGGAGGCAGCAGUAGGGAAUCUUCCGCAAUGGGCGAAAGCCUGACGGAGCAACGCCGCGUGAGUGAUGAAGGGCUUCGGAUCGUAAAACUCUGUUAUUAGGGAAGAACAAAUGUGUAAGUAACUAUGCACGUCUUGACGGUACCUAAGCAGAAAGCCACGGCUAACUACGU